Molecule: ribosomal RNA, 495 nt
Filed under: Badis blosyrus
Lineage: Eukaryota; Metazoa; Chordata; Actinopteri; Anabantiformes; Badidae
Description: partial 12S ribosomal RNA
Rfam family: Bacterial small subunit ribosomal RNA
Source: RNAcentral
UAAACAUUGAUAGUACUUUAUACCCUCUAUCCGCCAGGGAACUACGAGCGUCAGCUUAAAACCCAAAGGACUUGGCGGUGCUUAAGACCCACCUAGAGGAGCCUGUUCUAGAACCGAUAAUCCCCGUUCAACCUCACCCUCCCUUGCUCAUUCCGCCUAUAUACCGCCGUCGUCAGCUUACCCUGUGAAGGAAAAAUAGUAAGCAAAAUUGGUAAAACCCAAAACGCCAGGUCGAGGUGUAGCGUACGAGAGGGGAAGAAAUGGGCUACAUUCCCUAAGUUAAGGGCACACGAAAGGCAGAUUGAAAUAUCUACCCGAAGGUGGAUUUAGAAGUAAGUAGGAAGUAGAGUAUCCCACUGAAACCGGCUCUGAAGCGCGCACACCGCCCGUCACUCUCCCCGAAUAUACGAACCCAAACUAAUUAAAACCUUAGUAACACAGAGGGGAGGCAAGUCGUAACAUGGUAAGUGUACCGGAAGGUGCACUUGGAAAAAC